This 482-nucleotide ribosomal RNA is filed under the name uncultured bacterium. RNAcentral's name for it is "partial 16S ribosomal RNA". It matches the Rfam family "Bacterial small subunit ribosomal RNA", at positions 30 to 507 of the family's 1533-position model. The record is from RNAcentral.
AUUGAACGCUGGCGGCAUGCCUUACACAUGCAAAUCGAACGGUAACGGGCCUUCGGGUGCCGACGAGUGGCGAACGGGUGAGUAAUACAUCGGAACGUGCCCGAUCGUGGGGGAUAACGAGGCGAAAGCUUUGCUAAUAUCGCAUACGAUCUACGGAUGAAAGCAGGGGACCGCAAGGCCUUGCGCGGACGGAGCGGCCGAUGGCAGAUUAGGUAGUUGGUGGGAUAAAAGCUUACCAAGCCGACGAUCUGUAGCUGGUCUGAGAGGAUGAUCAGCCACACUGGGACUGAGACACGGCCCAGACUCCUACGGGAGGCAGCAGUGGGGAAUUUUGGACAAUGGGCGCAAGCCUGAUCCAGCCAUGCCGCGUGCAGGAUGAAGGCCUUCGGGUUGUAAACUGAUUUUGUACGGAACGAAAAGCCUUCUUUUAAUACAGGAGGGUCAUGACGGUACCGUAAGAAUAAGCACCGGCUAACUACGUG